GCCCCUACGGGACGCAGCAGUGGGGAAUAUUGGGCAAUGGGCGCAAGCCUGACCCAGCAACGCCGCGUGAAGGAAGAAGGCUUUCGGGUUGUAAACUUCUUUUCUCAGGGACGAAGAAAAUGACGGUACCUGAGGAAUAAGCCACGGCUAACUACGUGCCAGCAGCCGCGGUAAUACGUAGGUGGCAAGCGUUAUCCGGAUUUACUGGGUGUAAAGGGCGUGUAGGCGGGAAAGCAAGUCAGAUGUGAAAUCCACGG
RNAcentral lists this ribosomal RNA (257 nucleotides) under uncultured bacterium. Its description in RNAcentral is "partial 16S ribosomal RNA". It matches the Rfam family "Bacterial small subunit ribosomal RNA", at positions 335 to 606 of the family's 1533-position model. The record is from RNAcentral.